RNAcentral lists this ribosomal RNA (474 nucleotides) under uncultured bacterium. RNAcentral's name for it is "bacterial SSU rRNA". It matches the Rfam family "Bacterial small subunit ribosomal RNA", at positions 335 to 799 of the family's 1533-position model. The record is from RNAcentral.
ACUCCUACGGGAGGCAGCAGUGGGGAAUAUUGCACAAUGGGGGAAACCCUGAUGCAGCCAUGCCGCGUGUGUGAAGAAGGCCUUCGGGUUGUAAAGCACUUUCAGUAGGGAGGAAGGUAGUGUAGUUAACACCUGCAUUAUUUGACGUUACCUACAGAAGAAGCACCGGCUAACUCCGUGCCAGCAGCCGCGGUAAUACGGAGGGUGCGAGCGUUAAUCGGAAUUACUGGGCGUAAAGCGCAUGCAGGCGGCCUGUUAAGUCAGAUGUGAAAGCCCGGGGCUUAACCUCGGAAUUGCAUUUGAAACUGGCAGGCUAGAGUCUUGUAGAGGGGGGUAGAAUUUCAGGUGUAGCGGUGAAAUGCGUAGAGAUCUGAAGGAAUACCAGUGGCGAAGGCGGCCCCCUGGACAAAGACUGACGCUCAGAUGCGAAAGCGUGGGGAGCGAAACAGGAUUAGAUACCCUGGUAGGAUAGCG